GACGAACGCUGGCGGCGUGCUUAACACAUGCAAGUCGAACGGAAAGGCCCUGCUUUUGUGGGGUGCUCGAGUGGCGAACGGGUGAGUAACACGUGAGUAACCUGCCCUUGACUUUGGGAUAUCUUCAUGCAACUGGGGCUAAUACCGGAUAGGAGCUCCUGCUUCAUGGUGGGGGUUGGAAAGUUUCGGCGGUUGGGGAUGGACUCGCGGCUUAUCAGCUUGUUUGUGGGGUAGUGGCUUACCAAGGCUUUGACGGGUAGCCGGCCUGUGAGGGUGACCGGCCACAUUGGGACUGAGAUACGGACCAGACUCCUACGGGAGGCAGCAGUGGGGAAUAUUGCACAAUGGGCGGAAGCGUGAUGCAGCAACGCCGCGUGCGGGAUGACGGCCUUCGGGUUGUAAACCGCUUUCGAAUGUGACGAAGCGUGAGUGACGGUAAUGGGUAAAGAAGCACCGGCUAACUACGUG
Molecule: ribosomal RNA, 468 nt
Filed under: uncultured bacterium
Lineage: Bacteria
Description: partial 16S ribosomal RNA
Rfam family: Bacterial small subunit ribosomal RNA
Source: RNAcentral